Molecule: transfer RNA, 73 nt
Filed under: Bos taurus (domestic cattle)
Lineage: Eukaryota; Metazoa; Chordata; Mammalia; Artiodactyla; Bovidae
Also listed under: 4 other names
Rfam family: tRNA
About the family: Transfer RNA (tRNA) molecules are approximately 80 nucleotides in length. Their secondary structure includes four short double-helical elements and three loops (D, anti-codon, and T loops). Further hydrogen bonds mediate the characteristic L-shaped molecular structure. tRNAs have two regions of fundamental functional importance: the anti-codon, which is responsible for specific mRNA codon recognition, and the 3' end, to which the tRNAs corresponding amino acid is attached (by aminoacyl-tRNA synthetases). tRNAs cope with the degeneracy of the genetic code in two manners: having more than one tRNA (with a specific anti-codon) for a particular amino acid; and 'wobble' base-pairing, i.e. permitting non-standard base-pairing at the 3rd anti-codon position.
Source: Rfam by way of RNAcentral
UCCCUGGUGGUCCAGUGGUUUAGACCCUGUGUUUCCACUGCAGAGAACAUGGGUUCGAUCCCUGGCUGGGGAA